GAGGGUACAUCUCAAGUGGCAGAGCGCAUGCUUAACAUGCAUGAGGUCCUGGGUUCAAUCCCCAGUACCUCCU
Transfer RNA from Camelus ferus (Wild Bactrian camel), 73 nucleotides. It matches the Rfam family "tRNA". Rfam says of the family: Transfer RNA (tRNA) molecules are approximately 80 nucleotides in length. Their secondary structure includes four short double-helical elements and three loops (D, anti-codon, and T loops). Lineage: Eukaryota; Metazoa; Chordata; Mammalia; Artiodactyla; Camelidae. The record is from Rfam.